GCUCAGUAACGAAUACUUCUAGCCGCGGAGUUGCUAACCUCUGGCUUUGUUUCUACUUGUAAUGAUUGGGAUCUUCUUUGCUCUGGAUGAGAGGGACACCGUCUUCACGCCACACAAUUCUCUCUUCACAUAAUGCUGCAGCUACUUCUACGUAAAGUUUAUGCUCCUCCUGAAGAACCCUUGCUGCAAGUGUUUCUGCAGUGUCAUUAGCCAGCACAGGCACGACCCCUUGAGCAAGAAUACGUCCAGUGUCAUAAUGCUCAUCGACAUAAUGGAUCGUUGGACCUGAAUACCUAGCUCCAGAAGCUAUGACUGCUUUAUGCACCUUUAUGCCAUAGUAGCCUUUGCCUCCAAAAGAUGGAAGAAGUGACGGAUGAAUAUUAAAUAUUGAUCUUGGAAAUGCUUGGACCAGCUCAGUAGGAAUAAGCUUUAAGUACCCAGCUAAAAGAAUGAAGUCGAUAUUGUAAGCUCUUAGAGAACCCACGAGAUCCUCCUCCGAUAAACCCUCCGAUGAAUUCUUUGCUUUAGGAAACACAAUAACAGGGAUGCCUUGCUCCCUUGCAUACUUUGCACCUCCACAAUCUUUUUUAUUGGUAACUAAAACAGCUACCUCUCCAUGAACAGUCCCUUCAAGUGUAGCUUCAUAAAUUGACCUGAAAUUUGAACCUCCACCAGAUACAAACACUGCAAGCUUCUUCUUUCUAAGUUCUUUACUCACGCCACUAUCAGGAACUGUAAUAGCUUCUCUUUCAAUUCUUUGCAAACAAUUCCUACACUGGAAAAAUUCCUUGCUGGGGAAACUUUUAGGAGAAAAAGAAACAUGGGGUUUCAAGAAAACCCCUUUAAGGGUAAGAAUAUUUGAAGAAGAAGGUGGUUUGAGCAAAAUCUGAAAGAAUGGAUUUUUUUGGUUUUGAAUUGGUGAAGUGGGUAAGGUAGAGGAGAGGCCAAAAGACAAAUUUUGAGUUUCCAUUGAUAUCGGAAGUGAACGGCGGAGAUUGACGGCGGAGGUUGGCGGCCGGCGGCGGGGAGGAGAAGGGAGGCGGGA
Molecule: unclassified non-coding RNA, 1045 nt
Filed under: Hevea brasiliensis (rubber tree)
Lineage: Eukaryota; Viridiplantae; Streptophyta; Magnoliopsida; Malpighiales; Euphorbiaceae
Source: RNAcentral